This 61-nucleotide ribosomal RNA is filed under the name Vibrio parahaemolyticus. RNAcentral describes it as "partial 16S ribosomal RNA". Lineage: Bacteria; Pseudomonadati; Pseudomonadota; Gammaproteobacteria; Vibrionales; Vibrionaceae. The record is from RNAcentral.
CUUAAAUUGAAGAGUUUGAUCAUGGCUCAGAUUGAACGCUGGCGGCAGGCCUAACACACGC